This is an RNA transcript of Mirounga angustirostris (Northern elephant seal), 8102 nucleotides long. It is a transcript of the gene named cohesin subunit SA-2-like, with no coding region annotated. The record is from RefSeq and is a predicted model, not a curated record. NCBI's taxonomy places the organism in Eukaryota, Metazoa, Chordata, Mammalia, Carnivora, Phocidae. The transcript is spliced from 32 exons.
GGGCUGCCCCGGGGGUCCCACAUCCCGCCUUGGGGUCCGAGGGCAGCCCCAGGAGUCCCGAACCCUGCCUUGGGGGUCCAAGUGCUGCCCCAGGGGUCCCACAUCCUACCUUGGGAGUCCGAGCCCAUCCCAGGGAUCCUGAACUCUGCCUUGCAGGUCCAAAUGCCCCCCGGGAUCCCAUAUACUGCUUUGGGGGUGUGAGUGCGGUCCUGGGGAUCCCAGACACUUCCUUGGGGGCAUCUGAGCUGUUCCACGGGGGUCCUGAACUCUGCCGUAGGAUCUGGAGCCCGGCCGGGGAGUGGGGGCUCCAGAGCACUGCUUGGAGGUUCUGAAUUUAGCCUGGGGGGUCGUGAAGUCUGUGUCAGUAGUCCAAAUGUGGCAUGGGGGUUUCAGGCACCAGGGGUUCAGGCCCUGGGGUUAGAACCAGCCGUGGGGCCCCAAACUGCCUUGGAGAUUCUGGUCCGGUCCCAGGGGUUCCAAAGUGUGCGUUGUUAGCCUGGAGUGUGGCUCCAGACUCUGCCUUGUGGGGGAGGGGGGCAAGUGGGGCACCAGGGGUUCUGUACUCUGCUGAGGGAGUCCUGUCCCAUCCCCGGGGGUCUGGAACCCUGCCUUGGGGGUCCUAGCCAGUCCUUAGGAGUCUAAAAGUUUGCCUGGCAUGUCUGAGUCCAUCAGUACUUCAGGCUUAGGGUUUAGCCGCAUGGGUUCCCCAGUCUGCCUUGGGCAUGGGAUGCUGACUUGGGGCAUCCCCGAUGCUGCCUGGGGGUCUGGAUCUGGCCUGGCCGGAUUCUGAAGUCUGUGCUGGUAGCCUGAGUGUGGCCCUGGGGGUCCCAGGACCUCCUUGGCGAUCAGAACCUGGAUGGUGAAGGUGGUGUGGAGCAUGACUGCACAGUCCACCGGGUCCAGCAGAGAGAGGGGUGGGCUGGUUCCAAAGGAGCGCCCCUCCUGUUCAGACUGUGAUCAGUUCUCUUCUCCAGGAAAAAUCCCAAACAGCAUCCACGUUUCCUGUAAUGAUGGGAUGGCUCCUCAUUCUAACAUAAUGCAGAGGGAGAUGGCAGAGAGUAGUACAGGGGGACGUGGCCCGGGAAAGCAGCUCAGUGGCUCUGUAGGGAUGGGUGUGGGGAUUAAAAGCAGUGUUGGAGAUGGUGUUUCGUGCAGGAUCUGUCCUGUGCGCAGCCCGGACAAACGUGAGCAAGUUGAGCAGAAUGUAGAUCGUUUGUCUUAAAGAAAAUGGGCAAAGUCAGAAUGUGGCCCCAGUGUCGCCCAUGAAGCCCUGGACGGGCCAUUGUUCCUGGAUGCCAUUUCCUGGCGGAGGGAACGAGAGGCUGGAUUAAAAGUUGCCAUAUCGAAUGCCCGAGUAUGUGUGUUCUGGGCGGCGUCUAUCGUUCUGUGGCUGGUCCCCCGGCCCUCCGCUCCGUCACACGGCUCGAGACCGCCAGGCACAGGGAAUGUGGAGGAGCGCGUCCGUGGAAAUACCCUGGGUCUUCUGUCCCCGCGAGGGUGUGUUUGGAGGGCCUGGGUCUGAGAUGCUGGGGUGGCGCCUGUCUGCAGCGGGAGGCCGGCUGGAGAGCACACAGCCGCACGCCGCGGUCCUGUUACGCCACCUGGCGUAAGAUGCGGGCAGGUCCCCUCAUGCAAGCCCUACCUCCUCCGGAGGAGUGCAGUCUUACUUGGGGGAGAAGAACUGCGGAGCUCACGUUUCCAGGGCUGUGUCUGUCGGGCGCUGGGCUCUCCGCGGCACACACACCUCUCCCCGCUGUCCUCCGCUUGCUGUCCUGGCUGGAUCCCCUGCGCCGCGCCGGAGCCUGCCUUCCCAGCGGUUUCUAGGGGCGGGUGGGGGAGGGAAGCGGCGAGGAUUAACGCUGGAUAAUGAGGUAACGCAUAUUUUUUACGGCUUUACUAUUGACGGUGUGUCUUAUGGCUGCUGAUGGAGGGUAGACGGUUUCCUCCUGAGUAAGUUGGGAAUCCUACCCCCUGACCUUCAUGCAGAUGCAGAGCUGUGUGGAGACAGUCCCCCAGCAUCUCCUGUUUAUUAUACACAGCACAGAAAUGGUGCUGGGGCUGUGGGAAGGAUAGGGAAGAGAGGUGAAGACAGGUGCCCUGGGGUAGAUGCGCUGUGCACGGAACAGGAGCGUGGAGGAAGCAGUCGUGUUUGGGCUCAGUUUUCAAAGUAUUCCAUUGUCUUGAUUGUCAAAUAUCCAUGGGUUGUAAGAUGCAUCGUGGGUGGCCUGGUCAGAUGCAUCCUGAGGUGAGAGACCCCAAACCAGGCACAGUGAGUUAGAAUCAAGGAGAGCCGGGGUGAAUGACUUACCCCUCUGCCUUCGCAGAAAUAGACCACCUGCAGAUCGUGCCUUCCGUAAGCCGAGCCCCUCCCAAUUCCUGCGCAUUGUCUGGGUUUUCUUGCUUUCUUCUCUCUGCUGACAACCGUUUAACCACGUCAAGUGGUAGACGAUGUACCUAACGUCCCCCGUGUUUGGAAGUCUGUGUACCUUUGAGAGAGAUGAGUGAGUCGGGGGUGGCUUGCAGAUUCAGGCUUCGUGCCGCGAUCUGACUUUUCUUGUGUCAUAGUGGAAGGUCUGGCCGAGAGGGGGUGAAAGCUGUGUCGGUCUGCGAUGGCAGUGGCCGGGACGGUGUGUCGGUGCAGGAAGGACCCUCAGGGGGCCGGGAUGCUAGUGGAAGUGGACCCCGACGGCCAGUGCGGCGCCCAUGCAGGAGGCCUAGGAAUCAGGCUGGCCAGUUCAUCUCCGUGGUGACCCUCUUUGAGGUGAUGGCCAGGAGGAGGAGCUCCAUACUGGCGCAGGGAGCACCCUCGGGGGGCCAAGAUGUCAGUGGGCCCGGCACCCGCCGGCGAGGGCGGCCACCGCGGAAGCACCGCAAGAGGAAGGUGGCCUUCACCACAGAGGUGACCCUCUUUGAGAUGGUCGCCCUGGGGAAGAACUCGGUGCAGACGGCCGUUGAGGAGUGGGUGCAGUCCUAUAAAGAGGACAGGGAGCUGGCCUUGCUGGACCUCAUCAGCUUCUUCGUCCAGUGCUGUGGCUGUGAAGGGAUGGUGACGGCCGAGCUGUACCAGAGCAACCAAGGCCAGAACGUGGUGCACAAAAUGACCGAGAAGUUUGACCAGGAGACUGGGCUGUACUACAAGAAGUUUCUGGCCUACCCCUGGAUCCUGACCAUCGUGUGGCCAGAGAAACUGCAGAGUGACUUUUACCCCAUCGUGGGGCCGGGGCCCUUCUGGAAGAGGUUUCGGGUGAACUUCUGUGAGUUCACAGAGCUGCUGGUGCACCUGACACACUCCUCGGUGCUGUGUGAUGGACACCUCAUGGACACGGUGAUCUGCAUGCUCAGCGGCCUCACCAACUCGGCCGUGCACAGCCUGCGGCACACCAGCUCCCUGGCAGCCAUGAAGCUGCUGACGGCGCUGGCCAGCGUGAACCAGGGCAUCUGCACAGGCAGGCGCACGGCCCAGCGGCUGUACGAGAUCGAGAGCAUCACAAAGCUCAAGGGCAGACACAAGUACUACAUGGAGCUGUUGGACCAGCGCAGACACCAGUUCCAGAACAAGCCAAUGGCCAUCGACAACAUCAUCUGUGCGCUCUUUAAGAGGACAUUUGUGCCCCGCUACCGUGACAUCAGCUCGGACAUCCGUGUGAUCUGUAUGGGGGAGCUCGGCUGCUGGAUCAGGCUGUAUCCGGACAUGUUCCUGGACAACAACUACUUGAAGUACAUCGGCUGGAUGCUGUACGACAAGGACGCGAGUGUGCGGAUGAAGUGCAUCCUGGCACUGAAGGCACUCUAUGAGAAAAGAGAGUCGGCUAUGAAGUUGGGCCUUUUCUUCUAUAAGUUCAAGAAACGAAUCCUGUCGAUGACGCAGGACAGGCAGCCGGAAAUCACGUCCGAGUGCAUGCAGCUCCUGAGGCUCAUAUCCGAGCACUACGUGGGCGUGUUCUCCGCCAUGGAAUACGUCUUCCUGUUCCAGUUUGUGUACGCGGCCUACAGGCCCAUGGCGACAGCCGCGGGCGAGCUCAUCUGUAAGAGGCUCCUGGCCCCUCCACCCCACGAAGGUUUCUUUGGUCAAGAGCCCCCUGAUGAGUUUGAUAGAAAUCUCCAGAACAUGAAGACGCUUAUCGACUUCUACCUGCAGGGCGAGACACAGGUGUCCUUUGGUAAUAGCCGGGAGUCCCAGUGCCAUGUCUCAGACAACCAGGCCCGUCUCAUUCCUGGCAGGACCAGCAUCCUCAACCAUGCUCCCUGGGGUCACUGGAGGAGACUGUUUCUUGAUCCACUGACGAACCAGCAGGAAAGAGUGCUCAUUGAGAUGCUCGUGGCCGCCGUGCGACAGGCUGCAGAGGGCCGCCCGCCUGCCGGCCGCCGACUGGGCAAGAAAGCGGCCAGGGAGGUGGACGGGACCCGCCGCUGGCGUGAGCAUGCCACCAUGAGCCGACACUUUGUCAAGGUGCUGCCCCGGCUGCUCUCCAAGUUUGCAGCAGACAAAGAGAAGGUGACCCCCCUCCUGCAGAUCCCACAGUAUUGCAACCUGGACGUGUACGACAUGGACGGCCUGGGCUCGUACCUGGACGCAGCCCUGCUAGAGCUGGACUGCCUGGUGCAGCGGCACUCGGACGUGGCGGUGCUGGAGGCCUGUGCCCGCGCCUACGGCACCUACUGUGACGAAGGGGGCUCUGCCCACUGCCAGGCUGCCCCCGCCUGCAGCCGGCUGGUGGACAUGCUGGUGGACGUGCUGACCCCACUGCUGGACGUGUUCAUCCAACGCGAGAAACAGGGCCUGUUCCUGGGACACGGUGAGAUGGGGCGGAUCUGCUCCACGCUGCGGAGACUGGCGGCCUUCUACAGUGCACACGACCUGAGCAGCUGGAACCUGUACGAGAAGAUGGAUAGCCUGCUUACCUUCCGCAGGCACCAGGGCAGCCUGCCCACUGAGGUUGUCCACUGUGCGCUCCAGUGCACCUACUAUGCGCUCCUGUGGCAGAUUGUCGCGGCCACGGACCGGCUGCCGCCCCAGGAGGCGCUCCUGGACUUGAGGAAAAGGCUGAUGAAGUUCUGCCUGGUCUGCCGCGUGUACCUGAACCACCAGAGCAAGGUGCUGAGUGAGAAGGCCUUCAUCCUGCUCUGCGACCUGCUGCUCAUCCUGAGCCACCAGGGCCCUGAGGAGGACAAGGGCCUGGGGCUACUGUUCUUCGUCCCCGAUCACGUCCUGCAGUGCAAGCUGCUCACCUUUGUCAGGGAGCACGUGUUCCUGGAGGACACAGGAGCCGCAGGUCCCAGCAGAGUUUACAAGGAGGAGGAUGCAGACGAGCUGCAUGAGCUGUUCCACAGGAGAAACAUGCUGGCCGUGUUCUGUAAGCUCAUCGUCUGCAACGUGCUGGAGAUGAGCGCGGCCGCCGACAUCUACCAGUUCUACCUGAAGCACUACCAUCACUUUGGCGACAUCAUCAAGGAGACCAUGACGAGGACGAGGCAGAACGACAGGCUCCGCAAUGCGCUGUCCCUGCUUCUGUGUCUGCAGCAGCUGUUCCAGAAGCACGUGGACACGUAUGGCCUUGGCUAUGACCCCAUUGAGUUCAUCUGCGGCCCCUUCUACUCCAUCCGGCUGCUGGCCCGACGCUUUGCGCUCACCCUCGGCUUUGACCGCGCCCCAGACGCUGCCCACCUGAUCCACAGGCGUGGGCUGGCCUUUGCCUUCUCUGAGUCCCCAGUGCCUGAAGAGGAGGCUCGGCAGCGCUUCCCCAACCUCAGCUUCCUGCUCGUGCUGUCCGAGUUCUCCUGCAAGAUCCCACCAGCCGAGCGACAAGCUGCACUCGCCCACUUCCAGGACUCCAUCCCCGAGGGCGUGCCUGUCUUUGGGGAGGGGGACAUGAACCCUAUGCUUGUCUACCGCAAGUCCCUGAUGAGGACAGACUACGUGGCCCAGGGGGAGGAGGAGCCUGCCGCCAACCCGUUCGACGCCAUAUGCAAAGACAGCAAGCGGCCCCAAGAGCUGCCCGUGGGGAUGUGCUCCACCUGGACACCAGACACCCUGGCCAGCUCCAGCACAGGGGACAGAGAGACGAGGAACUCCUCCAAGGGCCAGAAGUCCAAGAGGGAUGUCUUUGAUGUUGACUUCCUGUCGUCGGAGGACUCUGAGAACUCUUCCAAUGAAGACGUGGACGUGGAAGGCAUCUCCGUCCCCGAGGUCGGUGCAGGCUGGGCCCCCGGGCGGUGGCCACGUGGGGGCGCUGGCCUGGGCCUGCCUUUCCUGCCAUGGCCCCCUCAUCCCGGGGUGGUGCAGAGGCGGGAUGUCCCAUCUGAUGGGGUCUCCUGGGUGACGCUGUGGCCUCUGUGCCCAGUGGGGGCGGGAGCAGGCCCGUCCCCAUGUUCAUGGCGGGGGGGUGGGGUGGAGAUUUGGGCUCCGGUCCGACAGCUCACCAGGUGUCUGCUGUGUGGACGAUCACCUGGCUGCGAGACUGGGGGUGGGGCAGGCCCCUGAGCCAUCCCAGGUGCGUGCGCUCCAGGCUCACGUGGUGUGCUAGGGGCCCGAGGCUGGCAGGGUGUGGGCCGCACGCUCUGGCCUGCUUGGCUUAGGACACUAGGUUUUGGGGUGCCCUGGGGGCCUCAGCAGCUCUGUUGGCUCCUGCCUGGCGGCCCCCAAGUCACACCUCUAGGAUGGGUCUGGCAUGGCCCUCAGAGCGGUGCAGAGGCUCCUGGCAAGGCAGCCCCGCGUCGUGUGCACACCCACCCUCCACCAUGCGGACACCUGGGCGGAGUCAGUGUUCCAGCCCGAGGGCCCUGAGCAGUGGGAGUGCGGGAAGGCUGUGCCCCGUGCCCCUUCCGCAUCCCCCACCCUGCUCGGCUGCUCCCAGGGCCUGGCAGGCGGGGGUCCCAGGCCGCUGUCCACCCCACCCAAAGUGCCCACCCCACGCUGACUGGAAACCAGCCCAGGCCACGGGGGCGUCAGACUGAAGAGGACACACGCCCCGCUGGGACUCAGGUCAGGAGUUCCGUGUUCCUCCUCGGUUGCUGCCUUGCGUUCCUGGGCUUGGGGAGCCAGCGGCGUCCAGGUGCGGCUGACCCAGGCCCCUGGGGGCUCCAGGCGGAUGGCGGUGACCUCUGCCAUCCGCCCCUGCGCAUCCCAGCCCCGUGUGUGGGGAGAGGGCCACGUGGCCGUUGACUGGGGCCCCCCGGGGUGCCCACGCACCCACCCACCUACCCACCAGGUGCCUACCCACCUGCGACUUCCCUCUGGCGACUGCUGUGCUCGGCUGGAAGGUUCUGGAGCCAGCUUUGCCCCCGGCCGUGGAGCAUCCUGCUGGCUCCCUAGUGCGACGUGGUCCUGCGUGGAGCGGCGCUAGCUCUUCCUUCCCCAGGGCCCCGCUGUUGGGCGUUCCCUGGCGUCCAGCGCUGAGGGCCGGAUGCAGGGCAGGUAUGGGCCUGCUGCCCGCGGUCGGCUCAGCACCCGCUCGCCUCAGGCAAACCCGCUGCACCCGACUCGGGGCGGGGGCUGGACGCACGUAGGCCGCCCUCCCUGGACACGCAGGGUGGGGCACUCCGCGCCUCAGACCCCGUUUGGUGCCAAACCAGAACUCUCGGGGCCAGUGUGGAGGACGCCCCCGUGUGGACGCGGACAGCGAGGCCGGUGUGUGGGGAGGACUCCCGCUGGUGUGCAGAGGCAAGAGCCGGCCCGGGACCUCAGGCCUCUGCAGCCCCGCGCAGACCUGGGUCUGGGGCUUGCCGUCCGGGGGGCGGGGGGAACACCAGUGCCUCUGGCUGUGCCCUCCCCAGGACCCUGGAAGCCACGGUGGGAAAGCACGGCCCUUGGCCGUGGCGUCAGGACCACGGGUGGCCCGCGUGCAGGUCUGGGCAGCAGGGCCACCCUGCUGGACACUCGGGGCCCCGCGGCCUGGGGCCCGCACCCCAGAGCCGUGCACGCCGCGUGGAGUCUCCCGUGGGGACACUGCCGUCUGCCCCCGUAGCGCCCCCGCCUGGCGUCUGUGCCCGUCGUGCCCUGUGUGUGCUGUGUCGUGGGCUGGGCAAGCCGAGCCCGUCACAGAAAAUCCGUAAACUCUUUAUUUGAAAAUACAAACGUGAUCUCGUAAAACAUUUUUAAACUG